AAGGAUCAUUAACGAGUUAGGGUCUUUCCGGCCCGACCUCCCAACCCUGUGCUUACUGAACCUUUGUUGCUUCGGCGGGCCCGUCUCACGACCGUCGGGGGACCGUAAGACGUUUCCUGACCCGUGUCCGCCGGUGGCCAAGCUUAACAAACUCUGGUUACAAUGUGUCAUGGUCUGAGUACAAUUUUUAAUUAAAGUAAAACUUUCAACAACGGAUCUCUUGGUUCCGGCAUCGAUGAAGAACGCAGCGAAAUGCGAUAAGUAAUGUGAAUUGCAGAAUUCAGUGAAUCAUCGAGUCUUCGAACGCACAUUGCGCCCCCUGGUAUUCCGGGGGGCAUGCCUGUCCGAGCGUCAUUGCUGCCCUCAAGCCCGGCUUGUGUGUUGGGUCGCCGUCCCCUCCUUCCCGGGGGGGGUACGGGCCCGAAAGGCAGCGGCGACUUCGCGUCCGGUCCUCGAGCGUAUGGGGCUUCGUCACUCCGCUCUGGUAGGAACGG
RNAcentral lists this unclassified non-coding RNA (494 nucleotides) under uncultured Penicillium. RNAcentral describes it as "sequence contains ITS1, 5.8S rRNA gene, ITS2". The stretch from base 201 to 354 matches the Rfam family "5.8S ribosomal RNA". Lineage: Eukaryota; Fungi; Ascomycota; Eurotiomycetes; Eurotiales; Aspergillaceae. The record is from RNAcentral.